RNA transcript from Otolemur garnettii (small-eared galago), 742 nucleotides. It is a transcript of the gene named 60S ribosomal protein L7 pseudogene, with no coding region annotated. Lineage: Eukaryota; Metazoa; Chordata; Mammalia; Primates; Galagidae. The transcript has a single exon. The record is from RefSeq and is a predicted model, not a curated record.
AUGGAGGGUGUCGGAGAGAAGAAAAAGAAGGUUCCUACUGUGCCAGAAACCCUUAAGAAAAAGCAAAAGAAUUUUGCAGAGCUGAAGAUUAAGCAUCUGAGAAAGAAAUGUGCCCAAAAGAUGCUUUGAAAGGCAAGGAGGAAGCUUAUCAAUGAAAAAGCUAAGCAUUAUCAUAAACAAUACAGGCAGAUGUACAGAACUGAGAUUCGGAUGGAUAGGAUGGCAAGAAAAGCUGGCAACUUCUAUGUACCUGCAGAACCCAAAUUGGCAUUUGCCAUCAGGAUCAGAGGUAUCAAUGGUGUGAGUCCAAAGGUCCUAAAGGUGUUGCAGCUUUUCACCUUCACCAGAUCUUCAAUGGAACUUUUGUUAAGCUCAAGAAGUCUUCCAUGAAUGUGCUGAGGAUUGUAGAACUGUAUAUUGCACGGGGGUACCCAAAUCUGAAGUCAGUAAAUGAGCUAAUAUACAAGCGUGGUUAUGGCAAAAUCAAUAAGAAACAAAUUGCAUUGACUGAUAACAGUUUGCACCAUCUCUUGGUAAAUAUGGUAUCAUCUACAUGGAGGAUCUGAUUCAUGAGAUCUAUACUGUUGGAAAACGCUUCAAAGAAGCAAAUAACUUCUUGUGGCCCUUCAAGUUAUCAUCUCCACAGGGUGGAAUGAAGAAAAAGACAACCCACUUUGUAGAAGGUGGAGAUGCUGGUAACAGGGAAGACCAAAUCAAUAGGCUUAUUAGAAGAAUGAACUAA